AGUCAAAGAAGAAGCAUAAGUCAAUAUAUAUGAAUAACAACAGUGGCUAUCCUCAACAUUUGCCAUGGAUAAACAUCUCAGCAAAAAAAAUCAAAAUUCAUUUGUAGCAAUAGUUAUAAUCGCAUUGGCCAGAAAUUUUCGACAAUCACACACGCAUUUAACGCUUCAAAACAUCACAUUCGAAAAAUAAACCAGCGAAUGCAGCACAAAACCAAUGAUAACCCUAAACAGCAUGAUGCUCCUCCCGCAUAAACGAGCGAAACCAGAGAAUUAAUCAUGGAAUCAAAUUUACAAAACCUUAAACUGGAGUUAUGGCAUAUAUACAACCCAUCUGAACCUUAUAACAACAGCUUAACAAUAUAAAUCUUCCUAUCACCAAGUAAAUGUUUUAUGGUCAAAAAGAUCUACCCAAAUCAAUAUAAACAAACCGCACUUGAAAUGAACUGCUUAAAACUGGAUGCAAAUAAACGAAGAUCUGGAUCGAAAAUAAACCAAGUAAAUACGGAAACGGGCAUAAGGGAUUACCGAAACAACAACUCGAUUAACAUUCAGACGCGUGAUAGAAGCAGAAAACCAGCUGCAUUAUCAAAAGUUGAAUUGUGUUGUUGGGUUAUGGCUGGCCUCGGAACAUUGACGAUGAAUGGUUUGUGUUGGAUGGCCUUGGACGGUCAAACCAGGUAGUGGGUUUCCAAACCAAUCCACAAUUUUGAGCCACACUUGCUUAUCCCUACUUUGGUUUUGACGCUUUAGCCGCAAUGAACAUAGAACCGGCCCUUGGCGUCUGCGAGACCGAAAUCGCUGAAAGGAUUCUACCUGCAAAAUAGAAAUAAGUUUAUAACCUAUCAAAGGUUCAAACAGCCAUCAAUGUGAUUCUGGGGUAGUGAUUGAUGCUGGAGUUCAUUAACAGCAUAAGACCGUUGGGGAAGGAGAAGGCCGAAGGCGUCGUGGCGGUGAUAACGAAGAAGACGAUCAAGAAAGAUGAGUGAGGUGGUGACGAGGGUUUACGGUGGUUGAAGGUGACGGCGGGUUUGUGAGGUGGCGAGCGGUGAGGUUGUGGGUUCGUGGGUUGAAUGAAGGUGAAGAUGGAGGGUUUUGAGAGUGGAGGAUUUGUGAUGGUAGAGAGGCGAUUGAAGGGUUUAGCGGUUUAAUGGAGGUGGCGGCGGGAGCUAGCGGCGAGGGUUUCGUCGGCGGUGGAUGAAGAGGGUUAAGGGUUAAUCGAUGGGGUUUUGAUGGUGACGAUGGAGGUGAAGGUAAAUCGUUGGAUGGUGAAGGUGAGCGACGAAGGUUUUUGUGAAGAAGAUGGAGGCGACGGUUUGUGUGAGGGAGAUUUCUGAGGUUUUGUGAGGUUUGUGUGCGAAGGUUAUGUGAGAGAAUGAGUGACGCGUGUGUGACCGUUGGGAGUGGAUGAGUGAGUGGAUCUUUUAG
RNAcentral lists this long non-coding RNA (1425 nucleotides) under Lathyrus oleraceus (garden pea). Its description in RNAcentral is "Pisum sativum (pea) long non-coding RNA (PSAT_LNC028270)". Lineage: Eukaryota; Viridiplantae; Streptophyta; Magnoliopsida; Fabales; Fabaceae. The record is from RNAcentral.